This 1802-nucleotide ribosomal RNA is filed under the name Pinus taeda (loblolly pine). RNAcentral's name for it is "SSU rRNA". It matches the Rfam family "Eukaryotic small subunit ribosomal RNA". The record is from RNAcentral. Lineage: Eukaryota; Viridiplantae; Streptophyta; Pinopsida; Pinales; Pinaceae.
CCUAGUUGAUCCUGCCAGUAGUCAUAUGCUUGUCUCAAAGAUUAAGCCAUGCAUGUCUAAGUAUGGACUAAUUCAGAUUGUGAAACUGCGGAUGGCUCAUUAAAUUAGUUAUAGUUUUUUUUAUGGUACCAUACUACUCGGAUAACCAUAGUAAUUCUAGAGUUAAUACGUGCACCAAGUCCUCACCCUUUGGAAGGGAUGCAUUUUUUAGAUAAAAGGCCAGCGCGGGCUUGCCCGCUUCUCCGGUGAAUCAUGAUAACUCGACGGAUCGCACAGCCCUUGUGCUGGCGAUGCUUCAUUCAAGUUUCUGCCCUAUCAAAUUUCGAUGGUAGGAUAGAGGCCUACCAUGGUGGUGAUGGGUGAUGGAGAAUUAGGGUUCGAUUAUGGAGAGGGAGCCUGAGAAACGGCUACCACAUCCAAGGAAGGUAGGAGGCACGCAAAUUACCCAAUCCUGACAUGGGGAGGUAGUGACAAUAAAUAAUAAUAUUGGGCUCAUCGAGUCUGGUAAUUGGAAUGAGUACAAUCUAAAUCCUUUAAUGAGGAUCCAUUGGUGGGCAAGUCUGGUGCUAGCAGCCGCGUUAAUUCCAGCUCCAAUAGCAUAUAUUUAAUUUGUUGCAGUUAAAAAGCUCAUAGUUGGAUCUUGGGUCGUAAAGGUCGGUCUGCCUACUCGGUGUGCACCUGCCCUUCCUUCCCUUUUGUCGGCGGCGUGCUCUUGGCCUUUAUUGGCUGGGUCGCAGCUCCGGCGCUGUUACUUUGAAAAAAUUAGAGUGCUCAAAGCAAGCUUAUGCUCUGAAUACAUUAGCAUGGAAUAACAUGAUAGGAGUCUGGUCCUAUUGUGUUGGCCUUCGGGGCUGGAGUAAUGAUUAAUAGGGACUGAAGUGGGUAUUGGUAUUUCAUUGUCAGAGGUGAAAUUCUUGGAUUUAUGAAAGACGGACCACUGCGAAAGCAUUUUCCAAGGAUGUUUUCAUUGAUCAAGAACGAAAGUUGGGGGCUCGAAGACGAUCAGAUACCGUCCUAGUCUCAACCAUAAAUGAUGCCGACCAGGGAUCGGUGGAUGUUGCUUUAAGGACUCCACCAACACCUUCUGAGCAAUCAGAGUGUUUGGGUUCUGGGGGGAGUAUGGUCGCAAGGCUGAAACUUAAAGGAAUUGACGGAAGGGCACCACCAGGAGUGGAGCCUGCGGCUUAAUUUGACUCAACACGGGGAAACUUACUAAGUCCAGACAUAGUAAGGAUUGACAGAUUGAGAGCUCUUUCUUGAUUCUAUGGGUGGUGGUGCAUGGCCAUUCUUAGUGGUGGAGCGAUUUGUCUGGUUAAUUCCGAUAACGAACGAGACCUCAGCCUGCUAACUAGCUACACGGAGGUUCCCCUUCGCGGCCAGCUUCUUAGAGGGACUAUGGCUGUUUAGGCCAUGGAAGUUUGAGGCAAUAACAGGUAUGUGAUGCCCUUAGAUGUUCUGGGCUGCACACACGCUACACUGAUGCAGCAAACGAGCUUUUCUUCCUGGUUCGAGAGGAUCGGGAAAUAUUCUCAAAUUGCAUCGUGAUGGGGAUAGACCAUUGCAAUUAUUGGUCUUCAACGAGGAAUUCCUAGUAAGCACGUGUCAUCAGCUCAUGUUGACAACGUCCCUGCCCUUUGUACACAACGCCCGUCGCUCCUACCGAUUGAAUGAUCUGGUGAGGUGUUCGGAUUGCGUCAACGAUGGUGGUUCGCCACCAUCGAUGUCGUGAUAAGUUCAUUGAACCUUAUCAUUUAGAGGAAGGAGAAGUCGUAACAAGGUUACCGUAGGUGAACUUGCGGUAG